CUUUUCUUGUUAGUUUUUGAAGUAUGGCCUGCCCACUGACUUAUUGUUGAAGGGCCGCGGUAUUUUGACCGUGCAAAGGUAGCAUAAUCAUUAGUUCUUUAAUUGUGAUCUGGUAUGAAUGGCUUGACGAGACAUAAUCUGUCUUAGGAGUAUUGCUUAUUGAAUUUGGUUUUUGAGUUAAAAUUCUUAGAUGUUUUUAUGGGACGAGAAGACCCUAUAGAGUUUGACAUUUUUCUUGCUGUAUUUGGUUGUUUGUUAUUUAUUGUUUAGUUGGAUAAAGUGUUUUGUUGGGGUGAUGGGAGGAAUUUUUUAAACUCCUCUUUGAUUUUAUAUAUUUAUUUGUAUUAUUUUGAUCCAUUUAUUUUGAUUAUAAGAUUAAAUUACCUUAGGGAUAACAGCGUUAUCUUCCUUGAGAGUUCUUAUUGGCAGGGGGGUUUGCGACCUCGAUGUUGGAUUAAGGUGAAUUUUCGGUGCAGGAGCUGAAGUUGAUUGGGUCUGUUCGACCUUUAAAACCUU
Molecule: ribosomal RNA, 516 nt
Filed under: Amitermes vilis
Lineage: Eukaryota; Metazoa; Arthropoda; Insecta; Blattodea; Termitidae
Description: partial 16S ribosomal RNA
Rfam family: Bacterial large subunit ribosomal RNA
Source: RNAcentral